ACAGAGGCAUGGUUUGCAUAUCCAUCAUAGUUCAUGACUGACAAUCUAGAGGUUGGAGCUAACAUUGAAAAACAUAUUGAUUAUUAUGGGACCAAGUGUUUCCCAGAUCUUCUGAUUCAAAGACCUACUACAUCCUAGACAGGGCUCCAGGUGUUAGAGAGGGGCGUAUGGAGUAUUGAGACCUACUGCGUGUGCAGACCGGAUGAAGGGCUGUGUUAAUGACUACAGCAGAAGCAGUGACCCAGAGAAGGUUGGUGAGAUGAACUUCGUCGAAGUUCUAUUGCCUGAGAAAGAAUCAAGCUGUGGUGGGAGACCCAGCGAUUGCUUUGGA
This 331-nucleotide long non-coding RNA is filed under the name Homo sapiens (human). Its description in RNAcentral is "HSALNT0064750". The record is from RNAcentral. Lineage: Eukaryota; Metazoa; Chordata; Mammalia; Primates; Hominidae.